Long non-coding RNA from Beta vulgaris subsp. vulgaris (sugar beet), 1865 nucleotides. RefSeq lists it as uncharacterized. Lineage: Eukaryota; Viridiplantae; Streptophyta; Magnoliopsida; Caryophyllales; Amaranthaceae. The record is from RefSeq and is a predicted model, not a curated record. The transcript has 3 exons.
CAGACCCUACCCUUGCCCAUCCCUACAUACUCAUAGUUUGUCCAUAUUAGUGAAAUAUCAGUUAUCACUCAUUCACUUGUCAAAAAAGUAGAGUCUAAAACAUGUGGAAAGUUGUGAGCAUAAAUCAUAAUAAUUUCAUUAUUUGUUCACAGCAUGCUUAGAAUAUCUUUAUUAAAAAUGUCUUGAUCUAGUGAUUAAGAUUAAGAUGCUGUGAACGAUAUGUCAUAGUUUCGAAUUUUCCUUCUCCUUCUUUGUAAUGUCUUCGUGGCUCAUAUGGAUAGAAAAAAUAUCUUUUAGUUGGGUCAGGUUUAGAUGGGUCUAAGAGACAAAUUAAAAUGCAAAAGUAAAGAUCAAGAGCAGCAUUAGCCAUAUUGGUUUGUAGUAAAUGGAAAAACUAUUCGAUUUUUCCACCUAGCUCCUAUUUUUCAUGUCUUGUCCUCAAUUUUUCUUUUGAUUUUUGCCUAAUUAUUAGCCAUCUUGUUGGAACAUUUAUAGAGUAAUGGGUUUGAUACUCAUAUUGAAAUAUCCCGAAAAUUUAAACUCGCCUAAAUUAAAUAAUAAUAAUUAGUGGUUAAAAUUUUUCUUUAAUCAUAAGUUAUUAUUGAAAUUUUGUUAAUCUAUAACCACAUAAUGAUAAUUAAAUCGUUAAAGUUACAAAUAAUAUUAAAGUUUUGUUAGAUUAAACAAUAACAAUAAAUUAAUUGGUUACUAUACAAAUUAGUAGUAUUAAGAAUAAAAAGGAAAAGAAAAAAUAGAAAAGAAAAAGAAAAAGAAAAAGAAAAAGAAAAAGAAAAAAAAAAAAAGGGGGGGAAAUCAAAAGAAAACAGAAAAACUACUGUUCAUUACAUUUCAAUUCAUCCCAUUUUUCCUUCCCAAACAACCCGACAAGGGAUUUUGACCCAUGACAGAAUUUUUUCACAUAAACAAACUCAAUUGCAAUUAGAAACUUCAAUUCAAUUCAAAUCCACCUAAAAAUCUGAUUUUUAUACUCAAACCCACCCAUGAACUCUAACUCUAAAAUGGAUUAUCCUUGCUCAAUCAAACUCAUAUUCAUAGAAAAUUCAUUUCUCAACCAAAAUCACCCAAUAACCCAUUUUUGGUAAUUCAAUUCCAUCAAUUCAUUUGGGCAGAAAUUGAAACUCAACUAUGGCUAUAAAUAGCCAUGUUCAUCUCCUCAAACCAUUCACUCAAACCACUUGAGUCUUCGCCGGAAACCCACUCCAACCAUCGCCGGAAAAAGCCACCAAAAACCACCACAAAGACCCCUGUUUUUUCGCAACCUACAGUCUCUCCUCUGCUUUUAUUUCUUCCGGCCACCACCACCCACACACCACCGAAGCUCUUCCGCGCCUCCUGUGCGCCACCAUAGCACCACCUCACCACCGCACCGCCAUCUUCUCUCUCCUCUCGCAUACACUCUCUCUCUCGCUCGCCCUUCCUCUUCUUCUCUCUGUCGCGCCUCACCUUUUGUUUCUCGCCGCAGCUGCUGCUGCAUCGGACCACCGUGGUCGACCAACUCCGACGAACCACCGUCGUGCUGCCUCACGGUCGGAGUCCCACCCCACUGCUAGCCCAUCUCGAGCUCCCUCCUCUGCUCUCCUUUUGUGUCUGCUCAAGAGAUUAAACGGAAAGGAUAUUACAGCCUCCCCCGGUUUUCAAGUUAUUACGCAGGAACCGAGGUACUAAUGAAGAUGACGGGAUGGCGUAGAAGUGAGGAUGGCCAACUACUUUACAUUAUGAAAAUUAUAUUGGUUAUGUAAUCUAAAUCUAUGAUCACUAGAACACGAACUUAGUUUAACUAUAACUACGUAAUCAUCUAUGCUUAUAUAUUUAUAUUAAUAUGAUUAAGAUGCUUAUUUUAAUAA